RNAcentral lists this non-coding RNA (144 nucleotides) under Mesorhizobium metallidurans. RNAcentral describes it as "FMN sequence". It matches the Rfam family "FMN riboswitch aptamer (RFN element)". From Rfam's summary of the family: The RFN element is a highly conserved domain that is found frequently in the 5'-untranslated regions of prokaryotic mRNAs that encode for flavin mononucleotide (FMN) biosynthesis and transport proteins. This element is a metabolite-dependent riboswitch that directly binds FMN in the absence of proteins. The record is from RNAcentral. RNAcentral also lists the same sequence under 1 other name. Lineage: Bacteria; Pseudomonadati; Pseudomonadota; Alphaproteobacteria; Hyphomicrobiales; Phyllobacteriaceae.
UAAUGUUCUCAGGGCGGGGUGAAAGUCCCCACCGGCGGUAAAGGUUUCGGCCCAAGCCCGCGAGCGCUUCUCAGUUACGGGAAGGUCAGCAGAUCCGGUGUGAUUCCGGGGCCGACGGUAUAGUCCGGAUGGAAGAGAACGAGC